RNAcentral lists this ribosomal RNA (1836 nucleotides) under Triticum aestivum (bread wheat). Its description in RNAcentral is "partial small subunit ribosomal RNA". Lineage: Eukaryota; Viridiplantae; Streptophyta; Magnoliopsida; Poales; Poaceae. The record is from RNAcentral.
AUGGCGCACGAUCCCAGCCUGGGCUUCGCGGACUACUUCUCGGCGGCCGACGCGGCGGCGGCGUCGCUCAUGCCGCAGAUGGACGAGGGCGCGCCGGAGCUGUACGGCUUGCAGUCCGGGAUGGAGCUGCUCGGCAUGCGCGGCCUGCACGCUGCCGCCAUGUCCGGCGCGACGUCCGUCUCCGCGGAUGUUCACUGCGACGGGGGAGGAGACGGCCACGAUGCCUCCACCAUGCGCUUCUUCCUCGAGCAGCAGCAGCAGCAGCAUCAUCAACAUCACCAGCCGAGCCAGCAGGCGCCGUUGUCCCUGUCGCUGUGCCGGCCGGAGGAAGUCGCGCAGCUGCACCAGCAGCAGCACCAUCACCAUCUCGGCGGCUCGUCUCAGCAGCAGCACGAGGCGUCCGCGGCGUCGUGGAUGCUGCCGCACGAGCACGAGGCGGCGACGUACGCGCACGGGCACGGCGCGGCGUGGCCGCUGCGCAGCUCCCGGUUCCUGCUCCCGGCGCAGCAGCUCCUGCAGGGCUACUGCAGCCUCCCCGUGGACAUCACCCCGAAGCGCGCCAAGCCGCCGCAGCAAGACGAGGCCGGCGGCGGCGAGGCCUCGUCGUCGUCGACGUCGGGCUGGACCCCGUCGGCGCAGAUCCAGGCCAUGGAGGCGCUGGAGCUCAAGCGGCUCAAGGACAGGCUCUACGUCAUGCUGGAGGAGGUGGAUCGGAGGUACAGGAGGUACUGCGAGCAGAUGAGAGGGCUGGCGGGCGGGUUCGAGGCGGUGGCGGGGGAGCGGGCGGCGUCGGGAUACACGGCGGUGGCGGCGCGGACCAUCUCGCGGCACUUCCGGAGCCUUAGGGACGGGAUCGUGGCGCAGCUGCAGGCGGUGCGGAAGGCGCUCGGGGAGAAGGACGUGGCGCCGCCGGGGAUGACACGGGGCGACACGCCGCGGCUCAAGGUGCUGGACCAAUGCAUCCGGCAGCAAAAGGCGAUGCACCAGAACGGCGGCAUGAUGAUGGAUAGCCACCCUUGGCGGCCGCAGCGCGGUCUGCCCGAGCGCGCGGUCACCAUUCUCCGGGCAUGGCUCUUCGAGCACUUCCUCAACCCGUAUCCGAGCGACGUGGACAAGCACAUCCUGGCUCGCCAGACGGGCCUCUCACGGAGCCAGGUGUCCAACUGGUUCAUCAACGCGCGGGUGCGGCUGUGGAAGCCCAUGGUGGAGGAGAUGUACGUGGAGGAGAUGAAGGGCGAGCAGCAGGACGACGGCGGCCUGAUAAACCCUAACAACCCUAGCAGCAGCGGCAGCCACGCCUCCGACGCGCAGGGGCAGCAGGGGGCGGCCGCGGCCGACGAAGGCGAGCGCGUCGGGGGUGCCGACGACCGGAAGCCGACGCGGGCGCAGCUGCAUGUUGGACACGACGCCGGCUCGCUCGCCUCCGUCGUCAACAUCGCCGGCGUUUCCGCGCGAAUGGAGGGCUUCGGCGUCAUGGACGCCGGCCACCACCUCGACUUUGACGCGUACGGUGGGCAGGGCCAGGGAGGAUUCGGGGGCGGCGCGGGCGGCGUGUCGCUCACGCUGGGGCUGCAGCAGCACGACACGCACGGCGGCGGCGGCGGCGUGAACAUCGCGUUCGGCGCGCCGUCGUCCGCGCAGCACGGCGCGGGCGGGUUCCUGUUCCCGGGCGAGCAGAUGGACGGCGUGGGCUUGCAUCCGUCCGGCGGCCACGGCCAGAACAUCCAGUUCGGCAUGGACGGCGCCCCCGAGGCGUCGUCCCACGGCGUGCAGGACCAGCAGCACUACCGGGGGAUGAGCGCCGGCUUUCACCUGCUCCGUGACCUGGCCGGCUGA